Molecule: long non-coding RNA, 578 nt
Organism: Thunnus maccoyii (southern bluefin tuna)
Lineage: Eukaryota; Metazoa; Chordata; Actinopteri; Scombriformes; Scombridae
Exons: 3
Source: RefSeq, a predicted model, not a curated record
GGUGUUCAGAGACAAAACCAGUCACACCAUAGACUGGGAAAGAGUCAAAUGUCAUUGAUUAGGAGUCAAUACACGUCUGGAGAGAGAUCAAAGAGGACAUUCACAUCCAAAGCUAGAGACCAUCUUUGAAAAAGCUAAUUGACUCUGGUCAGACGGGGCUGGAGGUCAUUGUUUAACGAGGAACAGAGCUCACAAACAGCGGUGGAAGCAGACGAUGCAUUUACUGAGCUCGAGAUUAAUAAUGAUAACCACAAGCCACACAGCCACACAGAGCCAGUCAGGAAGAUUUAGAAGGAAACUACAUGGCUGAUGAGGAUGUAACAGGUGUACCUGAUUACGAAGACAGUGAUUGACAGCAAGAAUACAUGAGUUAAACGAGGGAGAGCCCAGAGUGUGCCCCGGAGCUUCAGCGUCAGGGGCACACUUCAGCAUCUGCGACCUAAAAGAUGCGUGUAUGUACAGUGUAUAUGUCUUCAAGCCUGUAAGAAAACAGAUACUGUAGUCCUAUUGCUAAGAUGAAUGUGUAUUCACAAUUGAUGUAAUUUUUGUGGAUCUGUCUGAGAAACUGAUUUACAAUA